Molecule: ribosomal RNA, 510 nt
Filed under: uncultured bacterium
Lineage: Bacteria
Description: bacterial SSU rRNA
Rfam family: Bacterial small subunit ribosomal RNA
Source: RNAcentral
GAGUUUGAUCGUGGCUCAGAUUGAACGCUGGCGGCAGGCCUAACACAUGCAAGUCGGGCGGUAGAGAGAAGCUUGCUUCUCUUGAGAGCGGCGGACGGGUGAGUAAUGCCUAGGAAUCUGCCUGGUAGUGGGGAAUAACGCUCGGAAACGGACGCUAAUACCGCAUACGUCCUACGGGAGAAAGCAGGGGACCUUCGGGCCUUGCGCUAUCAGAUGAGCCUAGGUCGGAUUAGCUAGUUGGUGAGGUAAUGGCUCACCAAGGCGACGAUCCGUAACUGGUCUGAGAGGAUGAUCAGUCACACUGGAACUGAGACACGGUCCAGACUCCUACGGGAGGCAGCAGUGGGGAAUAUUGGACAAUGGGCGAAAGCCUGAUCCAGCCAUGCCGCGUGUGUGAAGAAGGUCUUCGGAUUGUAAAGCACUUUAAGUUGGGAGGAAGGGCAGUAAAUUAAUACUUUGCUGUUUUGACGUUACCGACAGAAUAAGCACCGGCUAACUCUGUGCCAGCAG